GUUAAAAUAGUAAAAACCCUUGAAUGAGUAGGUGUGUCCAAACUUUUGACUGGUACUGUAUAUUAUUAUUUUCAGGUCAAUAGAUGGAUUACGUAAUCCUAAGAAAAACAAUGCCCAAGUGCCACUUUGGAACUGUACUCUUCUGAGGUUUCAGAUUUUCAUAGUUCACUUCAUUGCUGGAAUCAAGAAAUUGGAUGCAGACUGGGUGGGGAAUAUUUCAUGUCAUACUUGGCACACCAUUGGCUUUUUUUACCCUUUCAGGAUGAUUCUGCCUAAUGAAACGGUGAGUCUACUGUUUGUCCAUGGAGGUGGUCUUCGUCUGGAUCUGUCUGUCGGCUAUCUGCUGUUUUUCGACGCUACACGCCCUUUUGGCAUUUUCUUUGUCAGUUACUUUCACUGUAUGAAUUCCCAACUCUUCACAGCAUCGGUGAGAACCCAUUGAUUAAUUGUAUUUAGUUAUCGUAACGAAUGAUCAAAUAUUAUAAUUCAAAGUACAAAAUCCGUGAGGGCUGCUUGUAAUUACUAAGCCUAGUCAUUAAAUGAUUGCAUUGAUAAGUAUUUCCUUAUCAGUUAUUUGUAUUUUUUAUUUAACCUUUUAUUUAACUAGGCAAGUCAGUUAAGAACAAAUUCUUAUUUACAAUGACGGCCUAACCUUGAGGGCAACAUAAUGCAAGCAGUCUCCUGUGUCCCAGAAAGCAUUUCAAAGCUAUCUUUUCUAUAAUGAUCCAUAAUCCCCUAUUGAUCACAUUGUCCUUUAUUUUAUCUCUAGGUAUGUUUGCCUACGCCAUGCUGGCCAUGAGUCCUGUCUUCUGCUACCCCGACUGGCCCAGGAACUUCUUUAGUCGCUUCCCAGAGUUCCUCAUGCCAGUGCUGCCACUCACAUCUCCUUCCCCACAGCCCAGCAUCCCCUGUGUUUACCCAGAGACCCAAAACACCUCUACAGGAUCCAUCCUGCCCCCAAGGCCUCCAAAACACGGUUUAAACACAAGCUGGCAACUCUGUUCACCAUUCUGUACCUAGCUGAACAGUUCUUCCUGCCUUACUCUCACUUCAUCACACAGGUACUACUCCUGUAGAAAUGGAGGAUGAGUUUGUGAUAAACUUGUAGUCCUUUCCAUGUAUUGAAUUAAGAAAAAGCCCUGAUUUGAUUGUCACAGUUGGGAGUCACUGAGUGUACCACUGUCAGCUAAAGUUAUUUCCCAACUCUACGGGUUACCAGAAUAAUUGCUCAAUCAGUGUCAACACUGCUAUCCGUCAGCACCAAACAGUAGCGUAGACUAGCUUGAGUCAGCAGAACGAUGGGAGUUGCAGAGGGGUGUGGAACGAGGCUUUGUAGAAGUAAAACUGGUCCAUACAUUCUGCUGUCCUGAUCUGGAGUGCAGUUCUGUUUUUUUAUUUGACCUGUAUUUAACUAGGAAAGUCAGUUAAGAACAAAUUCAUUUUGUCAAUGACAACCUAGGAACAGUGGGUUAACUGCCUUGUUCAGGGGUAGUAGAAAGGGAUCUUAUACUGUCCCUUAUAAUAUUCCUUACAUACAGCUGAAGUCAGAAGUUUGCAUACACCUUCGCCAAAUACAUUUGAAGUCAGUUUUUCACAA
Oncorhynchus tshawytscha (Chinook salmon) is the source of this 1597-nucleotide long non-coding RNA. RefSeq lists it as uncharacterized. NCBI's taxonomy places the organism in Eukaryota, Metazoa, Chordata, Actinopteri, Salmoniformes, Salmonidae. The record is from RefSeq and is a predicted model, not a curated record. The transcript is spliced from 3 exons.